This 820-nucleotide long non-coding RNA is filed under the name Parus major (Great Tit). RNAcentral describes it as "lncRNA (ENSPMJG00000000605.1)". The record is from RNAcentral. Lineage: Eukaryota; Metazoa; Chordata; Aves; Passeriformes; Paridae.
GCCAAAGUUUCCAAGGGAUUGGCAGGGCGGCAAUAAGCAAUUUAGACUGAUCACCAUCAACAACCAUGUAGGACUGCUGCUGCUCUUUUCUGAUGACUCACAUAAUAGCAUUGUUUGGUUCUAUUUUAUAGAGAGAACAAACAUUGCCUCAGUGAAAGGAAAAAAGGAAACAGAAGCAAACUGAUAAUGAUUGUACUUUCUAAAGGAAGAAAAAGUCAAGAUGUCUUUCAAGGAUGACUCCUCUUUCGCUGAAAGUCCUUUGCAAGUCCCAUAUGAAUCUGCCAAGAAGUCUGGCCACUCAAAACAUGAAUUUUCCAGAUAAUUUGCUGAAAAGGGGAGUAAAAAGGAAGAAGGCCCAUCUCUAAUGACCCUGAUGACAAAACCAUUUGUCUGCAAGGACUUCUCACAGAUGACACAAGAAUUUAGUGUUUACCCAAAUGUCUUUGGGUCAGAUCUUUACAUAAAACAAACUGGAAUAUACCUUUAUGUAGCUCAAUCUUUUUCAACUGAUGCUUCAGAAAUUUUCUAUGAAGAGCCUCCACUUAAAAAAAGAAAGUAGUGAUGCUACCACAGUCCAUGCCAAAAUGUACCAAUAGGAUACAGGCUGGAAUCUUCAGCAAGUGGAAGUCAGUCUAUCUCCAAGAUUUAAAUAUUUAUAUAGGCCCUAGCUGGCAUGAACAGCAUAUGCAUUUCAGCAAGGACAAAGGAAGAGUUCAUCAUUCCUUUACAAGGACUCCCAGCCAGGUCUUCCCUAGAAUCCAGCAUCUUGAAAGGCACAAGUGUAAUGAUGAUUUUCUUGGAGAAGUGAGAAAGCUUGGAA